CCUACGGGAGGCAGCAGUGGGGAAUAUUGGACAGUGGGGGGAACCCUGAUCCAGCCAUGCCGCGUGUGUGAAGAAGGCCUUAUGGUUGUAAAGCACUUUAAGCGAGGAGGAAGCUACUGAGACUAAUACUCUUGGAUAGUGGACGUUACUCGCAGAAUAAGCACCGGCUAACUCUGUGCCAGCAGCCGCGGUAAU
Molecule: ribosomal RNA, 195 nt
Filed under: uncultured bacterium
Lineage: Bacteria
Description: partial 16S ribosomal RNA
Rfam family: Bacterial small subunit ribosomal RNA
Source: RNAcentral